This 301-nucleotide ribosomal RNA is filed under the name uncultured bacterium. Its description in RNAcentral is "partial 16S ribosomal RNA". It matches the Rfam family "Bacterial small subunit ribosomal RNA", at positions 509 to 807 of the family's 1533-position model. The record is from RNAcentral.
CAGUCGCCACGGGAAUACGAAGGGGGCUAGCGUUGUUCGGAUUUACUGGGCGUAAAGGGCGCGUAGGCGGACUGAUAAGUCAGGGGUGAAAUCCCAAGGCUCAACCUUGGAACUGCCUUUGAUACUGUUUGUCUUGAGUUCGAGAGAGGUAAGUGGAACUGCGAGUGUAGAGGUGAAAUUCGUAGAUAUUCGCAAGAACACCAGUGGCGAAGGCGGCUUACUGGCUCGAUACUGACGCUGAGGCGCGAAAGCGUGGGGAGCAAACAGGAUUAGAUACCCGCGUAGUCCCUGUCUCUUAUAC